CACAGGGCGAUGGAGAGUUGCAUGGUGUGGGUCAGUGGGUCAGCAGCCACUGCCAAGAAGAAUUGGGCAAAAGUGACAAAAAGGAGAUCCAGAUGAUGCAGAUUUCAUGAGGCUGAUUGCAUCAAGGUCCAGGACGCUGAAGAGACUUCUUAACAGAAUUUGUAGUCACAAGAAAGAUAUCAAUACAUCAAAAACUCAGGCUUUCAUCCUUCAACAAUCAUUCUCCUUGCCAUCAUUUACUUCAGAUGUUUUACCACAAGCUUUGUCCGCCACGUGGGAGAGAUCGCUUUUAAAAUGUUUCCUUCCACCUCAGAAGGAAAUAAGAGGAGAAAUUGAAUUGGGAAUGGAGAAGGGGGAAAUUCAGAGUUCCAGCAGGCCUGGGGGAGCAAAAAAGCUAUGGAACUUUCCAGUCAGAAAUCUGACCCCUCUCUGCGAGACACAAAUGUGUGAGCACUGAGCUGACCAGCCAAAGGAUAAUGGUGAGUUCCUGCUUUUUUCCUGGUCCAGUCAGAGACUUUCAACUGGGCUCAUUGGUCACAGGGGUGGUAUGUUUCAUGCCUCAGUGCAAGAUUUGUUGGUCCUGAGACUAGUGUUUCAAAUUAGCCUAAGCAAAAGCAGCACUGGAGAUGGAGAAACAUGUGGUACCACACAAUGAAGGAGCUCUGUGUGAUGGGCACGUGUCCCACCCACUCACUGCGUGCAAUCUGAUCAAGCAAAGCAGUUGAGACAGUUGCCCCAGAGAGACUCCAUUAAAGGCAAAGAUGGGGAAUGAAGGAUCUUUUGAGUAAGAUUGAACAACAACUGCCAAAUCAGAAAAAUGUCUGGAUUUUACCACUUUAACUGAUGGAAGGAAUCCCACUGGGACUUAAGCGUAACAGAUGGGAGGGGAUUUCUUAUGCCCUUUGCCAAUUCGAGACUGUGGUUCUAUGAGGUGGCUGUUGGGAUGCUGCUGGAGUUAAAUGACAGAACUCAGGAGUGUCCCUAGAUUAAUAGGACAACAAGGACUCCGGACAGUUCCUAAGUGUACUUUCUACAUUUUUAAAAAUGAAAUUUCAAGCAAGCAUUUAUUUUCUCUCCCUCCCAUCUCUUUUCCACCUCCCCUCCCCUUAUGAAUAAGAAAAAAGAAAGAAAUGCAAAAUGUUGUAACAAAUAUGCCUAGUGAAAUAAGCAAAUUCCUGUAUUAGCUAUGUCUAAAAAUGUGUUUCUCAUUUUUCAUCACCCCUCUGUCAGGACAUAUAUAACAUUCUUUAUUAUCAGUUCUUAGAAUCAUGGUUGGUCCUUGUAUAGUUUGGAGUUUUUAACUCUUUGAAAUUUGUUUGUUUUAAUAAUGUUGUUGUUAUAGUAUAAAUUGUCCUUUUGGUUCUGCUAACUUCACAUUGCAUCAGUCAAUUAAAACUUCCCAGGUUUCUCUGAAACCAUUCUUUUCAUCAUUUCUUACAACUCAAUAGCAUUCCAUUCCAUUCACAUACCAUGACUUGUUCAGACAUUCCCCAAGUCAAUUUCCAAUUCUUUGCCAUCACAAAAAGAUCUGCUAUAAAUAUUUUUGUAUUUUAAGGACCUUUUCUUCCUUAUUUCUUUGAGCUCUUUAGCGGGUAGACUCAAGAAGCAAUUUUGCUAAAUUAAAGGAUAAACACAGUUUACCAUCAUUCCCUGAAAUGGCUUUCCAGAAUGGAAAUUCAUAGCUCCAUCAAACAGCAUCAAUGCGUUUAUUUUCCCCUAGCUAUCCAAACAUUUAUCUUUUUCCUUUUUUUGUUAAUCUACUGGGUGUUAAAGAGAACUCCAAAGAUGCUUUAAAUUGUAAUCUUUUUUUAAAAAUGAUUUCAAGCAUUUUUUCUAACUAUAGAUAUCUCAGAUUUUUUCUCUUGAGAAGUGCCUUUUUAUAUCCUUUGACCAUUUAUCAAUUUAUUGCUAUAAAUUUAAAUCAAUUUCAUACUAUAUAUUUUAGAAAUGACCUUUAUCCGAGAAAUACUGCAAAGAUUUAUUCCUAAUUAAGGGCUUGUCUCAGUUGUCCUUGU
This 2015-nucleotide long non-coding RNA is filed under the name Sarcophilus harrisii (Tasmanian devil). RNAcentral's name for it is "lncRNA (ENSSHAG00000031617.1)". Lineage: Eukaryota; Metazoa; Chordata; Mammalia; Dasyuromorphia; Dasyuridae. The record is from RNAcentral.